RNAcentral lists this ribosomal RNA (332 nucleotides) under uncultured bacterium. RNAcentral describes it as "bacterial SSU rRNA". It matches the Rfam family "Bacterial small subunit ribosomal RNA", at positions 568 to 898 of the family's 1533-position model. The record is from RNAcentral.
CGUGUAGGCGGCCUUUUAAGCCUGAUGUGAAAGCCCGGGGCUUACCCCCGGAAGUGCAUUGGAGACUGGGAGGCUCGAGUACCGGAGAGGAGGGUGGAAUUCCUGGUGUAGCGGUGAAAUGCGUAGAUAUCAGGAGGAACACCGGUGGCGAAGGCGGCCCUCUGGACGGAUACUGACGCUGAGACGCGAAAGCGUGGGGGGCAAACAGGAUUAGAUACCCUGGUAGUCCACGCUGUAAACGAUGGGCACUAGGUGUUCGGGGUAUUGACCCCCUGAGUGCCGCAGCUAACGCAUUAAGUGCCCCGCCUGGGGACUACGGCCGCAAGGUUAAA